GAUGAACGCUGGCGGCGUGCCUAAUACAUGCCAGUCGAGCGAACGGACGCGAAGCUUGCUUCUCUGAUGUUAGCGGCGGACGGGUGUGUAACACGUGGAUAAUCUACCUAUAAGACUGGGAUAACUUCGGGAAACCGGCGCUAAUACCGUAUAAUCUUUUGCACCGCAUGGUUCAAAAGUGAAAGACGGUCUUUCUGUCACUUAUAGAUGCAUCCGGGCUGCAUUAGCUAGUUGGUAAGGUAACGGCUUACCAAGGCAACGAUGCGUAGCCGACCUGAGAGGGUGAUAGGCCACACUAGAACUGAGACACGGUCCAGACUCCUGAGGGAGGCAGCAGUAGGGAAUCUUACGCAAUGGGCGAAAGCAUGACAGAGCAACGGCGAGUGAGUGAUGAAGGUCUUCGGAUCGUAAAACUGUGUUAUUAGGGAAGAACAGAUGUGUAAGUAACUGUGCACAGAUUGACGGUACCUAAUCAGAAAGCCACGGCUAACUACGGG
Molecule: ribosomal RNA, 497 nt
Filed under: uncultured bacterium
Lineage: Bacteria
Description: partial 16S ribosomal RNA
Rfam family: Bacterial small subunit ribosomal RNA
Source: RNAcentral